This 891-nucleotide ribosomal RNA is filed under the name Yamadazyma conglobata. Its description in RNAcentral is "LSU rRNA". The stretch from base 168 to 891 matches the Rfam family "Eukaryotic large subunit ribosomal RNA", at positions 1 to 785 of the family's 3401-position model. The record is from RNAcentral. Lineage: Eukaryota; Fungi; Ascomycota; Pichiomycetes; Serinales; Debaryomycetaceae.
AUUGAGUGAUACUCUUAGUCAGACUAGGCGUUUGCUUGAAAAGUAUUGGCAAGAGUGUACUAGAUAGUACUAUCUGAUUAUUCAAUGUAUUAGGUUUAUCCAACUCGUUGAAGCAGUCGGUGGUAAAUUUUUAGUAACUGGCUCGGCCUUACAACAACAAACAAGUUUGACCUCAAAUCAGGUAAGAAUACCCGCUGAACUUAAGCAUAUCAAUAAGCGGAGGAAAAGAAACCAACAGGGAUUGCCUUAGUAGCGGCGAGUGAAGCGGCAAUAGCUCAAAUUUGAAAUCUGUCACCUUCGGUGUCCGAGUUGUAAUUUGAAGAAGGUAUCUUUGGUUUUGGCUCUUGUCUAUGUUUCUUGGAACAGGACGUCACAGAGGGUGAGAAUCCCGUGCGAUGAGAUGCCCAAUUCCAUGUAAAGUUCCUUCGACGAGUCGAGUUGUUUGGGAAUGCAGCUCUAAGUGGGUGGUAAAUUCCAUCUAAAGCUAAAUAUUGGCGAGAGACCGAUAGCGAACAAGUACUGUGAAGGAAAGAUGAAAAGAACUUUGAAAAGAGAGUGAAAAAGUACGUGAAAUUGUUGAAAGGGAAGGGCUUGAGGUCAGACUUGGUUUACCAGGCCAGCAUCAGUUUGGAUGGCAGGAUAAUAACUAAGAAAAGUGGCACUGCUUCGGUGGUGUGUUAUAGUCUUGGUUGAUACUGCCUGUCUAGACUGAGGACUGCGUCUUUGACUAGGAUGCUGGCAUAAUGACCUUAAGCCGCCCGUCUUGAAACACGGACCAAGGAGUCUAACGUCUAUGCGAGUGUUUGGGUGUAAAACCCGUACGCGUAAUGAAAGUGAACGUAGGUGAGAGCCCUUUGGGUGCAUCAUCGACCGAUCCUGAUGUCUUCGGAU